UUCGACAACAGAAAGAUGAGCAUGGGUUU
This 29-nucleotide non-coding RNA is filed under the name Homo sapiens (human). Lineage: Eukaryota; Metazoa; Chordata; Mammalia; Primates; Hominidae. The record is from RNAcentral.